CCUUUAGCUCCUUGGUUACUUUCUCUAGCUCCUCCACUGGGGGCCCUGUGAUCCAUCCAAUAGCUGACUGUGAGCAUCCACUUCUGUGUUUGCUAGGCCGCGGUAUAGUCUCACAAGAGACAGCUAUAUCUGGGUCCUUUCAGCAAAAUCUUGCUAGUGUAUGCAAUGGUAUCAGCAUUUGGAGGCUGAUUAUGGGAUGGAUCCCCAGAUAUGGCAGUCUCUAGAUGGUCCAUCCUUUCAUCUCAGCUCCAAACUGUGUCUCUUUAACUCCUCCCAUGGGUGUUUUGUUCCUAAUUCUAAGAAGGGAUAUGGGUACAAGGGAAAAAUUCCUGAAUAGAACAGCAAUGGCUUGUGCUGUAAGAUCGAGGAUUGACAAAUGGGACCUCAUAAAAUUGCAAAGCUUCUGCAAGGCAAAAGACACCGUCAAUAAGACAAAAAGGCCACCAACAGAUUAGGAAAGGAUCUUUACCUAUCCUAAAUCAGAUAGGGGACUAAUAUCCAAUAUAUAAAAAGAACUCAAGAAGGUGGACUCCAGAAAAUCAAAUAACCCCAUUAAAAAUGGGGCUCAGAACUAAACAAAGAAUUCUCACCUGAGGAAUAACGAAUGGCAGAGAAGCACCUGAAAAAAUGUUCAACAUCCUUAAUCAUCAGGGAAAUGCAAAUCAAAAGAACCCUAAGAUUCCACCUCACACCAGUCAGAAUGGCUAAGAUCAAAAAUUCAGGUGACAGCAGAUGCUGGCGAGGAUAUGGAGAAAGAGGAACACUCCUCCAUUGUUGGUGGGAUUGCAAGCUUGUACAACCACUCUGGAAAUCAGUCUGGCGGUUCCUCAGAAAAUUGGACAUAGUGCUACUGGAGGAUGGAGGAUCCUGCAAUACCUCUCCUGGGCAUAUAUCCAGAAGAUGUUCCAACCGGUAAGAAGGACACAUGCUCCACUAUGUUCAUAGCAGCCUUAUUUAUAAUAGCCAGAAGCUGGAAAGAACCCAGAUGCCCCUCAACAGAGGAAUGGAUACAGAAAACGUGGUACAUUUACACAAUGUACCACACAAUUACACUCAGCUAUUAAAAAGAAUGAAUUUAUGAAAUUCCUAGGCAAAUGGAUGGACCUGGAGGGCGUCAUCCUGAGUGAGGUAACACAUUCACAAAGGAACUCACACAAUAUGUACUCACUGAUAAGUGGAUAUUAGCCCUGAACCACAUUUCUUGAGGCAGCAACGGCUCUCCACAGUUUGGUCCAUGAGGCUUGGGAAACAUCUAUAAUGUUUAAUUUAUAUAAUUCCUAAUGUGACAGUAACUGUCUAACAAAAGGACUGACAUCUCAAGCUUGGUGUCACCUAAGGACAUAUUUAGCAGAACUUAGUGGAAUUUAUGUGGAGGAGACAAUUAGUGCAGCAUUGUAAUUAAAAGGCUCCAUUGCUGUGAAGCCAUUAGAAAAGAUAGGACUUUUGGCCGAGGAUUUUGAGAUCAGAAGAGCAUAGAUGUGGACAUUCUUAUUCCACGUCUCAAACCCCAUUGCCCAUCCUAUGUGCUACCCAGCAGCCCUUCAGGGGCAUAAGGACCCUGGGAACUGAGAGAAGCCGUGUCUAUGGUCAGAAAUGCAAACUAGAAAUUAAAAUUUAAGAGGCAU
RNAcentral lists this long non-coding RNA (1625 nucleotides) under Mus musculus (house mouse). RNAcentral's name for it is "long non-coding RNA chr1:137992716-137994341". The record is from RNAcentral. Lineage: Eukaryota; Metazoa; Chordata; Mammalia; Rodentia; Muridae.